Molecule: ribosomal RNA, 695 nt
Filed under: Starkeya sp. CRRI-94_SA10
Lineage: Bacteria; Pseudomonadati; Pseudomonadota; Alphaproteobacteria; Hyphomicrobiales; Xanthobacteraceae
Description: bacterial SSU rRNA
Rfam family: Bacterial small subunit ribosomal RNA
Source: RNAcentral
AGCGCCCCGCAAGGGGAGCGGCAGACGGGUGAGUAACACGUGGGGAUCUGCCCAAUGGUACGGAAUAGCUCCGGGAAACUGGAAAUAAUACCGUAUGUGCCCGCAAGGGGAAAGAUUUAUCGCCAUUGGAUGAACCCGCGUCGGAUUAGCUAGUUGGUGUGGUAAAGGCGCACCAAGGCGACGAUCCGUAGCUGGUCUGAGAGGAUGAUCAGCCACACUGGGACUGAGACACGGCCCAGACUCCUACGGGAGGCAGCAGUGGGGAAUAUUGGACAAUGGGCGCAAGCCUGAUCCAGCCAUGCCGCGUGAGUGAUGAAGGCCUUAGGGUUGUAAAGCUCUUUCGCCGACGAAGAUAAUGACGGUAGUCGGAGAAGAAGCCCCGGCUAACUUCGUGCCAGCAGCCGCGGUAAUACGAAGGGGGCUAGCGUUGUUCGGAAUCACUGGGCGUAAAGCGCACGUAGGCGGAUUGUUAAGUCAGAGGUGAAAGCCUGGAGCUCAACUCCAGAACUGCCUUUGAUACUGGCAAUCUCGAGUCCGGAAGAGGUAAGUGGAACUGCGAGUGUAGAGGUGAAAUUCGUAGAUAUUCGCAAGAACACCAGUGGCGAAGGCGGCUUACUGGUCCGGUACUGACGCUGAGGUGCGAAAGCGUGGGGAGCAAAAGGAUUAGAUACCCUGGUAGUCACGCCGUGAACGAU